Molecule: non-coding RNA, 157 nt
Filed under: Acetobacter sp. AN02
Lineage: Bacteria; Pseudomonadati; Pseudomonadota; Alphaproteobacteria; Acetobacterales; Acetobacteraceae
Description: 6S RNA
Rfam family: 6S / SsrS RNA
About the family: E. coli 6S RNA was the first non coding RNA to be sequenced, but its function was unknown until recently. It consists of 184 nucleotides that fold into an extended hairpin structure with a large single-stranded internal bulge.
Source: RNAcentral
GCGGGGCUGCCCGGCUCGUCAGGCGAAUUCAUCCCCUGGGCCGAUAAGCACUUCCUCGGGAGCUGGCUCUGAUGUGAUCCUGGUCAUGUUACCUGGCGCCCACCUGCACUCGCAGGUCCUGGAGGUUGUAAAGACCAACGGUCAGGGUGGCUCCGUC